CUGGUAGUUAAAACGUCUACAACAACAAAAAAUUACUCAUGGAACUCGAGGUCGUCCCAUUGUUUCCUAUAGGGGAAAUAUAGAUGCCUGCCUCGUCACCAAGCGAGGAAGAUAUUUCUCAUCAAAUGCAAAAUGGAGCCCAGGAGUCAAACAAAAAAUAGAACCCAGGAGUCAAACAAAGUAUUUCAUUUCAGGGUGGUCUGAGGGACAUUACUUGGAAAGUGGCGUCCAUUGAGGCGUAGAGGAUUGUCAGAGGCAGGCCGGCCCUCAGCAGACGGAUGGAGUGUGGUGGUCCUCAAAGAGCUGCCGCAUCAGGUUUAUCCUGUACUGCUGGUACGAGAUCACCUGUCCUGUGACCUGCCGGUGGACAAUGUGGCCGUUGAGGAGAGCUAUAUCUAUUAGGUGGAAAAAUAGCUUAUUUAAGGGACUUUCUGGCACACUCAACAAAACUGUUCUGCAUGUCCACUUUGUCAACUGCUCCCAUCUUCUUGUUGUACUCCAAGACAAAGUCUGGCUUCAUUUUCCUCUCUCCGGUGACAUAGUCCAGUUUUCCUGUGUCCGACAUUUUGGAGGUGUGCACAGUGGACAGAACAUGGACAUCGCUUUUGUCAUGCCAUUUCACUGCCAUUAUCUCCCUGUUUGUUUGGAAUUCCACCUCCCCCUUGCUCAUUUUCUUUUUGAAUAUUGGCAUCCCCUUCCUGUUGGAUCUCACUGUGCCACAGGCCCCUGUGUUCUCCCUCAAAAAGGUACUGGAAAAGGGCAGGGCUACUGUACCAGUUGUCAACAAAUACAGUGUGCCCCUUUCUGAGGUAAGGCUGCAGCAUGGUGAUCACAACUGAUCCAGAUAUGCCAAGACCCUCAAAAUGCCUUAUAUCUGUGGUGGCGCCGGUGUAGAUGAUCAGGUCCUGUACAUAUCCUGUCAGACAGUCACAUAGAACAAAGAACUUGACUCCAAAUCUGUGGCGGUUUGAUGGGAUGUAUUGGCGGAAUGCAAGCCUUCCUUUCCAAGCCAUGAGAGACUCAUCAAUGCACAAGUCCUUGUGAGGAACAAACACUCUUCCAAAUACCCUGGUGAAGCUGCCCAGGACAUUCCUCAUUUUGUGAAGGGGUUCGGCGAGGUUGGCAGUGGCGUUGUUCACAAAGUGGUCCAGUAGUCCCUCACAGAGCCAUUCCUCACUAGCCCCAUCAGCAGCACCGUGAUCAGGAAGGUAUACAUUUCACUGAUGGUGAAACCAUCCCCCCCCAUGCACCCGAAAACCCCCCACAAACCCCACUAAAAUGGUUUUAACCAAAUCUGGCAACCCUGUUCGCGCUAUGGCUAAGCUAGGCAAUAGGCUUGUAUUUGGGUGAUGAUCUGUGAGGUGAUAAAAUUUGAUUUGCUUUGUGAUUGGUUAAAAACUGUAAACAACUUGUCAAGUCAUGUGCUCCGGUUCUUGCAUACACUGUAACAAGCUCAUGCAGAUUUGUAAUAUGCUGAAAAGUGGCCAAACUAAGUUGAUAUUUUCCGGGCAAUGGGUGCAGCCAUAUUUGACUUUGUUUAUUUGCAUCUUAUGCCACGUUCAAAACAACUGGGAACUCUGAAAAAUACAAGGUAAAAUCAUGACAUCAGUGAUCUUCGGGUCAUUAAGUCAGAGCUCUUGAAAGAAGCCCAGAGUUGGAAUUCCGUGUUGGAU
Molecule: long non-coding RNA, 1673 nt
Organism: Coregonus clupeaformis (lake whitefish)
Lineage: Eukaryota; Metazoa; Chordata; Actinopteri; Salmoniformes; Salmonidae
Exons: 5
Source: RefSeq, a predicted model, not a curated record